RNAcentral lists this unclassified non-coding RNA (173 nucleotides) under uncultured Hypocreales. Its description in RNAcentral is "sequence contains ITS2". Lineage: Eukaryota; Fungi; Ascomycota; Sordariomycetes; Hypocreales. The record is from RNAcentral.
CAACCCUCGAGCCCCAGUGGCCCGGCGUUGGGGAUCUACGCCCUGUCGUAGGCCCCGAAAACCAGUGGCGGACCCGUAGCGGCCCUUCCUUUGCGUAGUAGCAUUCGCCUCGCAUCGGGAGCCCUCGGGCACCAGCCUUAAAACCCCCCCAAGCCCGCCUAGGCGGCACAAGG